CUUGUGUCUCAAACAGCCGUACUCAUACCACAAGGGGUUCUGGCACCAAAUGUAGGGGGUACGGCAAGUGCUAGCCACCAUAGUACCACCUAGAGUGCCCAAAUGCCAUGUCAGAAGGGAAAGGAUCCACUCCCGCUCUCCCAAACGUAGGGAAGCUUGGUGGAUUUAAAGAAAAAAAUUAUUUGUGAGAGUGUGUGUCUGUCAGUCAGUUGCCACUGUGUGCAAAGGUGUGUGUGUGUGUCAAGUCAGUGCGUAUGUCCUCUGUGUGCAAGUGUGUAUUUCCUCAGUUUGUAUAUUUGCGUCCCCUACAUGUGUGUUAGUGUCUGUGUAAAUGUGUGUUUCAUUGUUCUCCGUGUGUAACUAUUAUGUGUUAAUUGUAUUUUCAUUUUGUGACUUCUAUACUGCAGGUUAAUAGUUCAUCCAUACCUCCUUACAUACAUAAUAUUCACAUUAGGUUAUAAUUAUUUUUAAAAUAUUAUUUACUUCCUUUAAUCAGGCUUGCUCUUCAAUAACUUUGUCUCAAUGUUUCAUUU
Non-coding RNA from Pelobates cultripes (western spadefoot toad), 533 nucleotides. NCBI's taxonomy places the organism in Eukaryota, Metazoa, Chordata, Amphibia, Anura, Pelobatidae. The record is from the annotation of a GenBank genome assembly.